AACCAUGGAUGUAAUAACACAAACACAGCUCGGUGAUACAUGUAGCAGUGGUGGACAGACUGACCUCUCACUACAACUGUUAGACCAACAGUGAAUCUGGACUCCCCCACCCCUGACUCUGCUCGCCGGUGGAUACAACGGGAAACACCAUAAAGAGAAAUAUCUUCUGCUCUGAAGACACUCAAUAACAGCUGCAGAGGAAGCUCCUCAGUUAUUGGUUGAAAGCUGGGAUUGUCUUCCAGUAUGAGCGAAUUAACAGACUUUCUCAGAGGCCAAAUAGUUGGUGCCCAGGUGGCAGGUCUGUCUGUCAGAGAAACUGCCCAGUUAUGUGAUGUGUCAGGUCGCACUGUCCUCAAAGUCAUGAGUGUUUACAACAUGCACGGAGACAUGGCAUUAGCAAAGAAGAACAGCAGGCGCAAGCCAAAGAGUAAAACGAAGAGGGCAAAAGCUGAAGUUACUGAAGGAGCUGCUACCGGGAAACCACUGUCUGACUCUGAGAGGGACACACCAAGACCUGAAGAGAGUGAGACACCUGAGUCUCAGACCAGAGACAAGGAAUAACGCUUCAGACUUUCUGCUACAUCUAGACUGGUUCAUGUUUGCGUAAAGCAUGCUUUCUUUUAACCCACAAUUUUACUUACUUUGAAGAAGUUUCAUUUAUGUUUUUAGGUUUAAAACAUUUUUUGUCAGAAUUGAAAAUGUAGAUAGAUAGAUUCUUUAUUGUCAUUGCUUCGAAAUACACAACGAGAUCAAGUUUGGCAGCAUUUAUUAAAAUAAAUCAUUAAAAUAUAUAAGUAUAUGAUAAAAUAAGAUAUGCAUAUGAUAUAACGAAACUGUCAGUAUUGCACAGUUAUAGCAGGAACAGUUCAUGAGGCAAUGUACAUGGAAUAUAAAUCUAUUCUGUCAGCAGGCUUUCAGCAAGCUUUCUUGAUCAGUAACUUUAGUUUAAACCAGUGCUUUUCUCUGUGAGGGUGCAGCUAGCAAAAGUUUUUGUCCAACUUGUUGUUGAGGGGGAAACACUAAUGGAAAAUAAUAUGAUGUCGUGGUAAUUUUUUCCUUUAACUGAGAAAGAAUUGAGGAUGAGGAGAAGCCUGAAAGGGGGUGAGAAUGACUCAGAGAGAAGUAAAGGUGUUAAAGUCAACCUGUUUUGUUAAUUCAAAAUCACAAAUGUUUCUGUGUUUGUGUUAUUGAUGGAAGUGUAUUGUGCAAUGAUUUCAAUAAGAGACAACUUUUUCUUCUCUGUUUCUGUCUUCCAUCCUUUUCCUGUGUUGAGUCACUGUUCUCACCAGUUGUGUAAACAUGUUCUGUGACCAUCAGAAGCAGCAGCAGAUAAAGAAUGGAGUGACCUUAAAAACAGCCGUGAGAGUUGUAGCACUAUUUCCUCCUAAUUCAACAGUCUCCCACAGUAGAUGAAUCAGUAAUAAAUAAUCCUUAGUUGCAGCUGAGUCCCUGCCAGUCUGUCUUCUGUUGGAUCACUGUUUAGUCAAUCUGUGUAAUGACCAUCAGAAGCCGUGGCAGAUGAAGAGCAGAGUGGCUGUGAAAAAUGUAAAGCUGUUUCUUUAUAACUGAUAAGUCUCCCAUUCGUAAUUAUUCAAUAAUAAAUAUCAAUACUUGCAGCUCUAAUUUGUUUUUUCCAUGUGGUGUCAUAGUCUGACAUCCCACCCCACCCUGCACCAGUGAGAGGGAACCUUCAGAGUAGUGCCACAGAAAGUAUUACAACAAUGAUGUUUACUGCUCAGUUCUUUUACUAUGCAAAAAUCGCCAUUUCAGUGAUGAAGUGAGCUCUGUGGAGCAGAUGACAUAACGCUUUUAUUCUGAAAAUGUCUUACCGGAUGCGUGUUCUCCCUGAUGAAACACAAACACAGCUCGGUGAUACAUGUAGCAGUGGUGGACAGACUGACCUCUCACUACAACUGUUACACAGUGCAGCUGAGCCGUUGAUCAGUGGAUCUUUCCUGACCCUGGAUCUCUCUGCCCAUGUGUACACAAUAAUGGAAACACUGUAUGACAGAGGGCUCUGGAUCUCCUAGUUGCAGUCAUUACAGAGCCUGCUACCUGUUGGCUCCAAAAAAAACACUUUUAAUAGAAGUGUUGAAAGCAAUAUGAGUGACUUAACAGAGUUUGAAAGAUGCCAAAUAGUUGCUGCACGACUUUCUGGUGCAUCUGUCACAAAAACUGCACAGCUGUUUAAUGUGGCCAGGGGAACAGUCUCCAGAGUUAUGACUGUAUAUAUCAAACAUGGACGAACAGCAUCAGCAAAGAAGAACAGUGGGCGCAAGUCAAAGCUCACCGAAAAGGACAGACAAACACUUCUCAGGAUAGUUGAUGAACACCCUGAGUAUACAGCCUCUAAGAUAACCUCUGAGUUGAACAGACACCUGUCUCACACCGUGUCAGUAAAAACUGUUCGACGCGAGCUUCACAAAGCUGGUAUUUUUAGAGGAGCAGGCAAUCGGAAAUCAGAGACUGAGACUGAUGGAAAGAACACUAAACCUGAACGUGACACACAAAAACCCAGUGAAGAGAGCACAAGACCCGAAAUGCAAACAGAUGUCAAAGAGUGUGGUACACAACAGCCUGUGGGAGACAAAAUAAUAUCUGAACCCCAGGUUAGUGUGGAAGAGUCCAACACAGAAAUAUCUGAAGAUAGGAUAUGACCUGAGCUCAUGUCAGCAAAGAAGAGCACAGCAAACAAGCCUGGCGACGAAAGAACAGGAGCUGAACCUCAGACCAGGGGAAAGUAAUUACACUGCCUGAUGUGUUGUACUUCAGCCUCUCUACAGCAUCUAGAUUGAUCAUGUGAGGGGAAAACCACAGAAUGCCUUCAUCCCUUAAUGUCUUCAACUAUCAGAUAUGCUCAUGGAUUUUUAAUAACAUUUGAGUUUCUAGAUUUGAUUAUUUAUUUGGCAUGAAUGCAUCAUAGUGCAGUAUUGAGGUUUUUUCAUUUUUCCUGGUUUACAAGCAAACAUUAUGACUUCACUUUAGACUGUUGUGAAUUAGCCAAAAUAAUUGACCACAGCUCUACUGCAGAUGUUCAACAGUAUUUUAUGUUAUCGUUUAAUGUGAAACACUCAAGUCUGUAAACAGAACCAACUGCAAAAUUCAGGGUUCGUUUCUAAUUUGUAGACCAAUGUCAUACUGAGAUAGCACUGCUAUUUUUCACCAUAUCUGAUUAUGUGAGUGGUGCUGUAAAGCAAAGCCUUUUUGAGGUUAUACGUAUCAGAUCUUGUGUAAUGGUUUGAAACCAAGUGGUAACUACAAUCCCGUAAGAGCCUUAAAAUAUACAGUAGUUACACUGCUGCCUCAAAAGGUCAUACUGCAUUGAAGUCAACAUAAAGCCCUCUGUUCACAGUUGAAAACCUUCAUAUUGUGUCUUCUAACAGGCUUUGGUAUUCAAAAACACAAUAUAUCAUGUUUAAUUAUGGCGAUAUUAAGGCUUGAAGAGAAGUGUGUGUUUUGAGGCUCGUUUCAAAUGUUUCAAAGAUUUCAGAAUGCACCUUCAGAAAACUGGGAGAGUGCAGAUGUGGCACUUCUGUCUACCCUUUAUAAAAGGUAAAAUGCGUCAUUCAUCUGUACAUAUUUAUUCUGCUGCAGAUGUAUGAUGAUAACUGAUGACUCCACCAUCAUGUAUUGAAUCUAAAUGAUCAAAUCCCCACCAAGCUUUUCUUUGUCUACUAAGUUUAUCACUUUUGUAUAGCUUGCAUGUACAUAGCUGUUGCAGGGAUGGGAGUGGGACGCAGCGCAUCAGACAGCACAUGUGAUGAUUGUACUGCAUAUUUAAACAAUACACUAAAAACUAUUAAAGUUGUCUGUACUUUCAAAACCACAUCAGCUAACAAAGGAUAAUGAUGAUGGUCAUUGCUGUGUAAUACACCAUGCACUCGCUAAGUAUAUCUUUUUCAAAGUAUAUGUCUUUUUCAAAGGGUGAAUACUAACAAGUGGUUUCAAAUGAUUUCAUAAAAUCCUGCUGAAUCUUGUUUGAGAAGUCUUGAGCCAGAGAGUUGUUCCUGUGUUUGUAUGAGCAUUCAAUAAAUCAUACAGCUAUAAUU
This is a long non-coding RNA of Seriola dumerili (greater amberjack), 4049 nucleotides long. RefSeq lists it as uncharacterized. NCBI's taxonomy places the organism in Eukaryota, Metazoa, Chordata, Actinopteri, Carangiformes, Carangidae. The transcript has 3 exons. The record is from RefSeq and is a predicted model, not a curated record.